GAUUCCGUAGCGGUAGUGGUUAUCACGUGCGCCUAACACGCGCAAGGUCCCGGUUCGAGCCCGGGCGGAAUCA
This 73-nucleotide transfer RNA is filed under the name Patiria miniata (bat star). RNAcentral describes it as "tRNA-Val". It matches the Rfam family "tRNA". Rfam says of the family: Transfer RNA (tRNA) molecules are approximately 80 nucleotides in length. The record is from Rfam by way of RNAcentral. Lineage: Eukaryota; Metazoa; Echinodermata; Asteroidea; Valvatida; Asterinidae.